Molecule: ribosomal RNA, 419 nt
Filed under: uncultured bacterium
Lineage: Bacteria
Description: bacterial SSU rRNA
Rfam family: Bacterial small subunit ribosomal RNA
Source: RNAcentral
AAGGAAUAUUGGUCAAUGGACGGAAGUCUGAACCAGCCACGCCGCGUGGAGGAAGAAGGUUCUCUGGAUUGUAAACUCCUUUUGCCGAGGGCUAAGAAACGGGUAUAUCCCGUCGUGAAAGUACUCGGUGAAUAAGCCACGGCUAACUACGUGCCAGCAGCCGCGGUAAUACGUAGGUGGCAAGCGUUGUCCGGAUUUACUGGGUUUAAAGGGUGCGUAGGCGGUUUAUUAAGUCAGUCGUUAAAGGCAGCAGCUUAACUGUUGUAAGGCGAUUGAUACUGGUAAACUUGAAUUAUUGGGAGGUUGUCGGAAUGCGUAGUGUAGCGGUGAAAUGCUCAGAUAUUACGCAGAACGCCGAUUGCGAAGGCAGAUAACUACCAAUAGAUUGACGCUGAGGCACGAAAGUGUGGGGAGCGAAC